GUGGUCUGCAGUCGACGAUUCCUACGGGAGGCAGCAGUGAGGAAUAUUGGUCAAUGGAGGCAACUCUGAACCAGCCAUGCCGCGUGAAGGAUGACGGCCCUAUGGGUUGUAAACUUCUUUUAUAGAGGAAGAAACUUGUCUACGUGUAGACAACUGACGGUACUCUACGAAUAAGGAUCGGCUAACUCCGUGCCAGCAGCCGCGGUAAUACGGAGGAUCCAAGCGUUAUCCGGAUUCAUUGGGUUUAAAGGGUCCGUAGGCGGGUCUUUAAGUCAGUGGUGAAAGCCGACAGCUCAACUGUCGAACUGCCAUUGAUACUGGAGACCUUGAGUACAAAUGAAGUAGGCGGAAUGAGUCAUGUAGCGGUGAAAUGCAUAGAUAUGACUCAGAACACCGAUUGCGAAGGCAGCUUACUAACAUGUAACUGACGCUGAGGGACGAAAGCGUGGGGAGCGAACAGGAUUAGAUACCCUGGUAGUCCACGCCGUAAACGACCAUCACUCGCUGUUGGCGAUAUACUGUCAGCGGCCAAGCGAAAGUAUUAAGUGAUGCACCUGGGGAGUACGCCGGCAACGGUGAAACUCAAAUGAAUUGACGG
Molecule: ribosomal RNA, 598 nt
Filed under: uncultured Flavobacteriales bacterium
Lineage: Bacteria; Pseudomonadati; Bacteroidota; Flavobacteriia; Flavobacteriales
Description: bacterial SSU rRNA
Rfam family: Bacterial small subunit ribosomal RNA
Source: RNAcentral